GGCAGAGCCCCGCGCGAGCUGCGGCCGCCCCCUGGAGCCCGCGGUGCGCGGAGAGCACGGGGCAGGCGCGCGUCGGGCGGCGCUGGCGGGGGCGAAACUUCGGGGCCAGGUGCCCGAGGGCGCGGCGGCGCUGACAAGCUGCCGCUGCUGCCCCUGCGGGUCCUGGGCGCGUCUCCGCGGGCGGCGCUGCCCACGGCGCGGCGUGUUCACCGAGCGAGUGAAGGUAUGUGUGGCGGGCGCGGCUGGAGCCGCCGCCGCCACCACCGCGCCAGCAGGUCCUAAUGCCUGUCACUUCCCAGGACACUGGCAGCAGUAUCCCGGAGCCCCCGAACCCUCGGCAGGUUGGCCUGUCCUCCCCCGCGAUCUGAUUGGAUAAAGUUGGGACUCGACGGUGGCCGACGUGGGACAGUCUGGCAGUGGCAGGGGUCUCGGAAACCAUGGGUUAUUGCAGUGGCAGGUGCACGCUUAUCUUUAUCUGUGGCAUGCAACUGGUUUGUGUGCUGGAGAGGCAAAUAUUUGACUUCCUCGGAUAUCAGUGGGCACCUAUCCUGGCAAAUUUCGUACAUAUUAUUAUCGUCAUUCUUGGUUUAUUUGGAACUAUUCAAUAUAGACCUCGUUACAUAACAGGAUAUGCUGUCUGGCUAGUCCUCUGGAUUACGUGGAAUGUGUUUAUUAUCUGUUUCUAUUUGGAAGCUGGGGAUCUCUCAAAGGAAACUGAUCUUAUCCUGACUUUUAAUAUAUCAAUGCAUCGAUCUUGGUGGAUGGAGAAUGGUCCAGGAUGUACGGUGACAUCAGUGACACCUGCCCCAGACUGGGCUCCAGAAGAUCAUCGCUAUAUCACUGUCUCAGAGUGUUUUCUGGAGUACCAGUACAUAGAAGUGGCUCAUAGUUCUCUCCAGAUUGCUCUCGCACUGGCAGGGUUCAUCUAUGCCUGUUAUGUUGUGAAAUGUAUAACUGAAGAAGAGGACAGCUUUGAUUUCAUAGGUGGCUUUGACUCUUAUGGCUAUCAAGGGCCUCAGAAGACAUCUCAUUUACAACUACAACCUAUGUACAUGCAAAUUCCCUUGGAUAACAACUGAUAACAAAUUCUAUAUAUCAGCAUCAAGUGAUAUGCUGAAUUGCAAGUGAAGAUCAAAAUAGAAAGUCAAAAUAAAACAGAUGGCUUCAGUAUAUCAGCUCCUGGACUUUUCAAAGAAUUUGUUUCCCAACGUUCUCCUGCAUUUAUGACAAGCAAGAAGAAACUGAGUUUAAAAAAUAUGCAUAUAUUAACAAAACAUACAUAAAGCCUCCAUGUAUACUGGAACAUGUGCGUGCGCACACACACACACACACACACACACACACACACACACACACACACACACACACACCACUUCCACUUGGCCUCCGCUUUCUAAAACAAAUACACAGGCCACUUCCAUCUUGGAUUUCCUGAAGGCUUCUUUCUCCCAAGUCUCUGGAAAUUCAUAAGGAGAUGUGUUGGUGCCCUCUGCUGACCCUAGCUAACUCCUCUGCAGUCCAGUGAGUGAGCUGCGAAGUCAUUCAGGGCACAAUAGUUUGAGAUUUUGUCUUCUGUACUCCAUAUGUCUUGAUAUAGCACCACGGCUAUGUAGGCAAUGUAACUGCAAAAACAAAGCAUGCCACUGAUGACCUAGUAACCCAAGUCAGAAAUGGCAGAUUGCCUGAAAGGCUGUACCGUACAUAUUUGCCUUAAUGUACCUAAGUUGAACAACCAAGAAUCUCAGUGCAGACAUCCCCAGAUCACUUCCUUUAGGCUCACACACUGCUAUUAAUUCCAAACGAGUUCAAGUCUGUGUGUUUCACGUGAAGGAACAAGACUGCUUUAGCCCAGCAGCUCUAAUGUGUCUGUAUAUGAAAACUGCCAACUGCCAGCAUAGUGCUUUACCAUUGAGCCUCCCUGGUGGCUAAAAAAAAAAUAUAUAUAGAGAGAGAGAGAGAGAAGUAAUGGUAACAAUAAUAACUGUCAUCUUAAUAAUUCUUAAGUGUGGUCUUCUAAUGGAGUUGGGUGAGACAGUAAAAUUUACUAAUCUACUAAAUUCAUUAACGUACUGGAAACCGAGAGCAGAAAGCAGAAAUGGCUUAACUCACUGAUUUUAUCGCACUCUAGGUGCUUUUAUAAGUAUCUACAAAUGUCUUUUAGUAACAACACAGAAAAAAAGCUGUGGACUUCUAUCUACAAAGGCCAACUGAAUAUGUAUUAGCUAUGUUUACUCUUUUAUAACUAAAUGAAAUUGAAGACCAGACGUAGGUGAACUUUUUUUCCUAACUUCAGCGUAUGAGAUUAUUUUUGGGGUGGGUGGGGGGAACAAUAGUUACCUUGGUGAAACAUUUGAGAUCUCUUUGUGGUAUUCGGGGGAUCUGUUGUGUGUUAGAGUGUAUUUAAAUCCUCCUGUAUUAUCGUGGCAGAAAAACUGUGCUGUUUAACGUAGUUGGCAACAAGAUGCCUUUGAAAACUUAAUAGUAGGUCAAUGUGUUCAUGGAAUACUCUGAAUUCCUAGGAAAUUUUAUUCUAUAUAUUCAAGCAUUAUUUGGUUUUCAUUAGUGGAAAACAUAACUAGCUAGGACUUGUCAGGAACUCAGAUGACUCAUAUAAUUUCUUAGAUCCACCUAACACAUUAAGAUAUCUUUAUUUUAACUAACCAUCUUUAAAUACAGUGAAAUUUAGGCUUGAAAAAGUAUAAAUUAGCAUGGAGAAACUUUUUCUUUUUGUUCCUAUGAAGUUGGGUUAACUUUCUUCGGUCCUUAGCCCAUCCAGAUCUGCAUUAUCAGACCCCAUUACUGUGUUUGCAUGGAUGUCUCUGAUACAAACACAUACAGUUAAAAAGGAAAAAAAGGUUACUAUUGGAGUAUAAACUACAAAAUAAGGAUCUGGCAUUUGUACUUAAAUUUUCCAGUCGCUUGUAUAUGUUUGUACAUAUAUACAAGUAUAAAAUGUAAAAUUGCAAACAUGUCAGUGAAGCCUCAUAUGAUGACUUUCUUGUAGUAUGCAUGUUCAUAUGAGAAAAAAUAUUUAUCAAUGUAUUGUCCUUUUGAUCUUAAAUUUCAGAUACUACACAUGCCUGAAGCUCCUCAAACAUGACUAUUAAUGUGAAUGUUAAAAAUGAGGUUUCACUGUACAUUUAUGCUGUUAUGAGAUUCCACCUUCUCAGAUAUGUAUAUGGAUAGAGAUUUCAGUGCCCUGAGAAUAAUUAGCCCUCAUAUUCCUGCUUUAAGUUGCAGACAAGUUACCACCUAAUCACAACUAUCAUUACCACGACAAUUUUCAAAAACAGUUGUUGACUACUAGGAAGUAAUCAGUGGACAGAUCCUUUUUGAAAGCAGUAAGCACAGUAGUGUGAUUAUAUCUGGGGAAAAAAACCAUCAAAGUUGUAAAGCUGUAUCCUCCUCAAAAUCCGGUGAAGAAUGCUAUUUUUCUAGGCUGAGCUUUUGUUAUAAACUUAAUAUUCAGAAGGCAAGAGUUACAAUCCUGAUGUGUCUCUCUCCUUUUUUUUUCUUUUUUUGCAUUUGUUAAUUAUGAAUGUAUUUUUAACAGAGUGAUUUUUUUGACUUACUGGUGUAAUUUGCAUUUUAAAAAUAAAUGGAAAAACUAUCAA
Molecule: RNA transcript, 3614 nt
Organism: Erinaceus europaeus (western European hedgehog)
Lineage: Eukaryota; Metazoa; Chordata; Mammalia; Eulipotyphla; Erinaceidae
Gene: NKAIN2
Gene name: sodium/potassium transporting ATPase interacting 2
Exons: 8
Source: RefSeq, a predicted model, not a curated record